GAGCAUAUCUCUCUAUUCCCCUCACGGCCACCUGCUCCUCCCCCUCCUCUUUUAAUCUCCUAGCGCCUGGAAACCCUAGCUCAUCUCCCCUCUCUGCCGCCGCCAACAUCCCAUUUUUUUCCCUCACAUUGUCUUCUUCUCUGUAAGCAACCGAACAACAUCAACGAACACCUCUGGACCAUCUCCUCGCCAUGGCGCCGCCGCGGCAGGCCGCCCCUCGCCGAGCCGAUGGUACCAGGAGAUGUGGCUCGACGUCCUCGUCAUCUCCCUGCAAGGAAUCGACCUGGGAUCCCUUCAAUCGACGGCGAAUUCGCCGAUUCUGUCUCCAACUCCGGCGAGUAAAUCUUCGAUUCCGGCCGCUACGGUGCACCUCCGGCCUCAACGACCCCUUGCACGGCUUCCUGCACCUCGACGCCGGCGAUGCUCCGGUGCCUCCCCGACCCUCGCGCCGCCCGCUGCUGGUCCGCGGCGUCUAGGCGAGCCUCCGAACCCAAGUUCUCCGUCCUGGUUCGGCCGUCCCGGCAUUCCUGUGCUCGACCUGGUCAUCCUCCGCCAUGAGUGUUCUGGACCGAGCUCUUUGUUAGGCUGCUUCAAGUCGUUACAUGACCCUAUCUAUCUUGAGUUCAUAGAUGUUUCACUUCGUGCGUGAGAUCAUCCGAGUCAACAACAGCAGUUAGCUCUUCUGACGGGCCUCAGCCCAUAUCUCCCUGGCGCAGCUAGAUGCUGAUGUGCGCCCAGCAUCUAUCCACCGCCGGCCGAGCACCGGCGCAGCAGAGUCCCUAAGCCAGCAUUUGCUUCUUCCCGGAUAGGAUCGCGAAGUGGUGUUGUGAGACACGACAAGUUCUCCGGAUGUCCCUCGACAAGUUUUAACAGGCAAGCAUUUCCCCUAUACUUCUGCCCCUGCAGAAGUCGCUCACCUAUUUUAUUUUGCCUUCUCCCUCAUGCUAUCCUUAAGUUGCGUUCUUGUCACGUGUCCCUUCCACUUGUUAACUCAAGCAGCCCAUAUUGCCACCACCAACCACCAACCUCCUACAGCUGUUGUUUGGUUAUCGGGUCUGCCUUGCGAGUCGUAGUGCAUGCUAGUGCUGUUAUAUCUUGUUACCGUUAUCUUUAUCUUAUCGGGUAAUAUGUUAAGGAAUCAUGACACAUGCUACAUGUUUAUAUCUGUUGAGGGUAUCAUGGUUACUUGUUAAUAGUUGUUAACGGAGGCAUCGGUGGGUCAGCUGAUCGUUUUGUGACGGCUCACUUGUGUUUCUUUAAAGCUUAGGACCCG
Molecule: long non-coding RNA, 1273 nt
Organism: Lolium perenne
Lineage: Eukaryota; Viridiplantae; Streptophyta; Magnoliopsida; Poales; Poaceae
Source: RefSeq, a predicted model, not a curated record